This 273-nucleotide ribosomal RNA is filed under the name uncultured bacterium. RNAcentral describes it as "partial 16S ribosomal RNA". It matches the Rfam family "Bacterial small subunit ribosomal RNA", at positions 524 to 796 of the family's 1533-position model. The record is from RNAcentral.
UACAGAGGUCCCGAGCGUUGUUCGGAUUCACUGGGCGUAAAGGGUGCGCAGGUGGCCAGGCAAGUUCGAUGUGAAAGCCCCGGGCUUAACCCGGGAAUGGCAUUGAAAACUGCUUGGCUGGAGGAUCGGAGGGGGGACUGGAAUUCUUGGUGUAGCAGUGAAAUGCGUAGAUAUCAAGAGGAACACCAGUGGCGAAGGCGAGUCCCUGGACGAUACCUGACACUGAGGCACGAAAGCCAAGGGAGCAAACAGGAUUAGAUACCCCAGUAGUCC